UUUAAAUAUUAUUUUAUUUUUGCUUUUGUAAUUUCCUUGCUCACUAAGUUUAUAUACUCACUCCCCUACUUUUACUUAUCCCUCAAGGAAUAAGAGUAGAAGAUAGAGUCAACAGAUUUUGGAUAAGUAAGCUCCAAGGUUUGAUAUGACACUUUUUCAAUAUUUUUGAAUUGUAUUCUUUUUGUGGAGCUUCUUCAAGACAUGUAUAACUUUUGUUAUUUUGAUUUUG
Molecule: unclassified non-coding RNA, 229 nt
Filed under: Hevea brasiliensis (rubber tree)
Lineage: Eukaryota; Viridiplantae; Streptophyta; Magnoliopsida; Malpighiales; Euphorbiaceae
Source: RNAcentral